Molecule: ribosomal RNA, 784 nt
Filed under: uncultured Neisseria sp.
Lineage: Bacteria; Pseudomonadati; Pseudomonadota; Betaproteobacteria; Neisseriales; Neisseriaceae
Description: bacterial SSU rRNA
Rfam family: Bacterial small subunit ribosomal RNA
Source: RNAcentral
UCCUGGGAUAACACUGACGUUCAUGCUCGAAAGCGUGGGUAGCAAACAGGAUUAGAUACCCUGGUAGUCCACGCCCUAAACGAUGUCAAUUAGCUGUUGGGCAACUUGAUUGCUUAGUAGCGUAGCUAACGCGUGAAAUUGACCGCCUGGGGAGUACGGUCGCAAGAUUAAAACUCAAAGGAAUUGACGGGGACCCGCACAAGCGGUGGAUGAUGUGGAUUAAUUCGAUGCGACGCGAAGAACCUUACCUGGUCUUGACAUGUACGGAAUCCUCCAGAGACGGAGGAGUGCCUUCGGGAGCCGUAACACAGGUGCUGCAUGGCUGUCGUCAGCUCGUGUCGUGAGAUGUUGGGUUAAGUCCCGCAACGAGCGCAACCCUUGUCAUUAGUUGCCAUCAUUUAGUUGGGCACUCUAAUGAGACUGCCGGUGACAAGCCGGAGGAAGGUGGGGAUGACGUCAAGUCCUCAUGGCCCUUAUGACCAGGGCUUCACACGUCAUACAAUGGUCGGUACAGAGGGUAGCCAAGCCGCGAGGUGGAGCCAAUCUCACAAAACCGAUCGUAGUCCGGAUUGCACUCUGCAACUCGAGUGCAUGAAGUCGGAAUCGCUAGUAAUCGCAGGUCAGCAUACUGCGGUGAAUACGUUCCCGGGUCUUGUACACACCGCCCGUCACACCAUGGGAGUGGGGGAUACCAGAAGUAGGUAGGGUAACCGCAAGGAGCCCGCUUACCACGGUAUGCUUCAUGACUGGGGUGAAGUCGUAACAAGGUAGCCGUAGGGGAACC